This 293-nucleotide unclassified non-coding RNA is filed under the name uncultured fungus. Its description in RNAcentral is "partial contains small subunit ribosomal RNA, internal transcribed spacer 1, and 5.8S ribosomal RNA". The stretch from base 1 to 73 matches the Rfam family "Eukaryotic small subunit ribosomal RNA", at positions 1759 to 1831 of the family's 1831-position model. The record is from RNAcentral. Lineage: Eukaryota; Fungi.
GCAAACUUGGUCAUUUAGAGGAAGUAAAAGUCGUAACAAGGUCUCCGUUGGUGAACCAGCGGAGGGAUCAUUACAGAGUUAUCCAACUCACCAAAACCAUGUGAACUUACCUAUGUUGCCUCGGCGGGGAAGCCUACCCGGUACCUACCCGGUAGCUACUCUGUAGUUGUAGACCUACCCGCCGGCGGACCAUUCAAACCCUUGAUUUUAUUUUGGCACUUCUGAAUUAUCAUAAAUUCGUUAAAACUUUCAACAACGGAUCUCUUGGUUCUGGCAUCGAUGAAGAACGCAGC